AUUGAACGCUGGCGGCAUGCUUUACACAUGCGAGUCGAACGGCAGCGCGGGCUUCGGCCUGGCGGCGAGUGGCGAACGGGUGAGUAAUGCAUCGGAACGUGCCCAGUAGUGGGGGAUAGCCCGGCGAAAGCCGGAUUAAUACCGCAUACGACCUGAGGGUGAAAGCGGGGGACCGAAAGGCCUCGCGCUAUUGGAGCGGCCGAUGUCGGAUUAGCUAGUUGGUGGGGUAAAGGCUCACCAAGGCGACGAUCCGUAGCUGGUCUGAGAGGACGACCAGCCACACUGGGACUGAGACACGGCCCAGACUCCUACGGGAGGCAGCAGUGGGGAAUUUUGGACAAUGGGGGCAACCCUGAUCCAGCCAUGCCGCGUGCGGGAAGAAGGCCUUCGGGUUGUAAACCGCUUUUGUUCGGGAAGAAAUCCUCUGGGCUAAUACCCCGGGGGGAUGACGGUACCGGAAGAAUAAGCACCGGCUAACUACGUG
Molecule: ribosomal RNA, 484 nt
Filed under: uncultured bacterium
Lineage: Bacteria
Description: partial 16S ribosomal RNA
Rfam family: Bacterial small subunit ribosomal RNA
Source: RNAcentral